RNAcentral lists this long non-coding RNA (2776 nucleotides) under Oreochromis niloticus (Nile tilapia). RNAcentral describes it as "lncRNA (ENSONIG00000033035.1)". The record is from RNAcentral. Lineage: Eukaryota; Metazoa; Chordata; Actinopteri; Cichliformes; Cichlidae.
GUCACUCAGAACUGUUUUAACCAUUUUUGUUUCAGAUUUUUAUCUGGUGAUCAUUACAGGCUCAAAACUCCAAAAGCUCUGCAGCUGCACUUUGGUUUUCACAAAAACACUCCCCCUUCACUUCUCAGAAAUGAUCAUUCAGAGAGAAAAUGGUGGUCUCAGACCACAAACACAUUUAUGUGCAUGUCCUUACCUACCUCCUAUCAUUGGUGACUACUACACUAUCAUCACGGUACAUCAAAAAUAAGAAGACUCAAAUACUGGUGGUCAAGGAGUUCUUCUACAGAAGAGCCGCACUUUGCAAACAUUGAACUGACAGUCUUCACACAUUCAACUUCCUCUUCUACUGCUGAUCAAAACACAACAUGUACUGUUAUUAUUCCUGUGCAGCACUUCAGAUAAGAGACUCUGUGAAAUGCAAAACACAUAAAAAUGAAAAUGCUAAAGCUUUCCACUCAUUUUAUGUGAUUUUAUAUCUACUUUAAGGCAGGAGUAGAGACAUUAAAAGCUACAAAUGUAUGAAUUUACCAACAGACACAGGAGAGGAAAGAACUGAUGUCACUAUGAGGAAGUGAUCAGGAAGUUGAUGCUGUAUUCAUCUCUGAGACUGUCUCAUUUGUGAACGUGAGAGCAAGAACAGAGACUGAGAGAGACAGAGAAGCACGAUGGCUGCAUUCACAUGGAUUCAAAUGUCUUCUUUACUGAUACUGAUGCUUCAGUUUAAAGGAACAGCUGAGCAAUAUUCACCUGUUUACGCUGUCAGAGCUGAACAUGAUGUUACUCUGCCUUGUAAAAAUUUGAUACAUGAUCAGCAUAAAUGUAAAAGUACUACCUGGCUGUUCAGUGAUUCAGGAAGCACAACAAUAAUCUUUGAAAAUGGGCAGAUUCACAAAGAUACCCAGACUAAAUCAGACAGACUGAAUGUUAAAAAGAAAAACUGUUCUCUGGUUAUAAAGAAGGUCUCAGUUGAGGAUGUUGGUCGUUACACCUGCAGACAGUUCAACAAAUCAGGACAACAACAAGGUCCAGACAUUCAGGCUGAUCUGACUGUUAUCAGCAUCACUGAACAUGAGAACCAUGGCGACGUCAUGUUGAACUGCUCUGUAUUUGCCUAUGGACACUGUGGGCACAAAGUGGAGUGGCUGUAUGAGGAUGAAAAGAAAAUAUCAGACAUGAAGAUCUCGGCAGGUCACUGCACUUCUACUGUGACAUUUACAAGAUCUGACCUGUCCAAGUUCUCUAAGCUGUUAAAGUGUCAUGUAACAGAUACUUCCACCAAAAAUGUGACAAUCUUUCCCUUCAAACCUCAAAAGUCUUCGGAUAAAGAUGCAAAUAAGACCAAAUCCACAAUGGCAUCAACUUCCACCACAACAGCAAAUUUAAUGCCAACACUGAAAACAUUAUCAUCAACAAUAUCAUCAAUAAAAUCAUCAAAAUUGUCGACAGCAGGAUCAUUAACAUCAAUGAACGUAAAGACGUCAGCAGUGACACCGGUGUAUCAGAAAGCAUCUGAAAGUAGGGACUUGAUUUUCUCUUCUUUUGAAGUCUUAGUUUUGAAUAUCAGGAUAAGUUGGUGGAGAAAUUCAUUAUCAUCGUUAACAUACUUUGCUACUCUUUCCAGAUCAGUUAUGGUUUAUUAUUGUUCCUGUGUGAUUAGCAGGACUGUUAAUAACUGCUGUCACCAGAUGGAAGAAAAAUACAGGUGAGAGAAUUCACAAAUUAAAGUUCAUUGUAAUUAUAAAUAUGGUUGCUAACUGUCUACUGGACAGAAAGCCUAGAUUUUUAAGUCAGAAGCUAAACGAUCCUGUUUUUUUCCCCCAGAAAACCAGAAACUACUGUCUGACAGCACUGUGAGUUUAAACACUUACACACAUAAGACACACACACACACACACACACAUAGUUCAAUUCAAUUCAAAACAAUUUUAUUUAUAUAGCACCAAAUCACAACAGACGUCGCCUUAAGGCAUUUUAAAUUAGAAAAUUAAAUUAAAUUAAAAUUAGUUAACUUAUUUGUCAUGCUUUUGUGUCUGACAUGGUACAGAUCUUAACUUAAAACAUACACAGUAAAUCAUAUGUAUUUGUUAAUCCCCAGAUAGGUCUAGGGGUUAGCGGAGUAAAACAAUACUAUAUGGAGGAAUGUGAGGAGGCUGUUUGUGCCAGUUUGAAAAGCUUUAAUGCCAAGAUGCUCACAAAAAGAAGCACAGGGUAAAUUCAGGGAGAGUCACGGUCAACACAACAAACAAAACGGCUCUAAAUUAAGAUAAAAGUUCAACCGCCAGUCAGCCAAGGUAAAACUGGAGGAAAAACGGAAUGCCAAACAAAAAGACAGCUCCCCUAAAAAGUUUCCUCUGGGCACUAUAAAGGACGGUUAUAUAACCAAAAAAUGGCUAAAGUCCCUUAGGUGCUGCUCGCAUAAGCCCUGGAGAGCAUCCACUGGCUGCAGGACAAAAGUUGCACUCAGUGUUAUAUUUUGUUUUCACAGAAAAGAGGAGAGAGCUACAGGGAUGAUGGUUAUGAGAACAAUAUUAAUGCUAAUUUAAUUACAUUUCAAAUGGACUCAAUAUAAAUCCACAUGUUAUUAAGCAGUUAAUAUAUUGUCUUUUCUGUGGUAUAGGAUGAAGCUGAGACCUAUGUGUUAUACGUCACCGUCAGCUUUACCAAGAAGGCCCAAAACAAAGCCCAGGUAAGAUUUCUGAUAUUCAUCGAGAUGAUGGUAGAAAGAUUAUUAUUUUAAAAGUUCGUGCCAGCUUAGUGUGUCUUUUGAUAAAGGAGC